UUUACUCACAGCCGCUCAGCUCUCCCCAUCUUCUCCUCUCUUCCACGCUCAUUUGCAAUCUCCCCUGAAGGUGCCAUCGCCACCGUUCGGCCACCAUAUCUUGGUGGCCAUUCCUCUUUUGAUCACAGCCCUUUAUCACUCGUUAUCUCUCUCUACUUCCUCUCACACAUGACCACCGGCUGGAACACCCAAGAUCCCCACUGUAAAGUAGCGUUAAUCUCCCCUAAUCGUUACCCAAGUUGGUCGAACAUGCCUAGACCUAGUCAACAAACCAUUUUUUUACUCCAAUGGUCUUGACUCCAACGAGAAUCACCAACAAAGUAUAAAUUCAAACGAUUAGGAGACAAAAUGAGAUGAACUGCAACUAAGGUUUCGCGUGAGUUGAAGAUGGCAUGAUUGUCGGCAACAGCUAAACGGGUCAAUUCUGGAUCCGGGUCACACUUGGACUGCUCUUGGACUCCGGGUUUUAAUUUCUUCAAGCAUGUUGUAAUUGGUCUUUGUAGUUUGGGCUU
Long non-coding RNA from Hibiscus syriacus, 512 nucleotides. RefSeq lists it as uncharacterized. Lineage: Eukaryota; Viridiplantae; Streptophyta; Magnoliopsida; Malvales; Malvaceae. The record is from RefSeq and is a predicted model, not a curated record. The transcript has 3 exons.